ACUGGCAUCCAUCGACUAGAAAAACAACACUAACUGCCCAGAAGAAGAGUUAUUGCAAUACCCCAUUCGCCAUGGCACGUCCAAGGAACAACACACACAAUUUGUUCUUGGUCAUAGCUCUUCUCGCCAUGUCUACCGCCUUCCUACCCUGUAAUGCAGAAGACCCACGCAGCUGGUGCCAGCCGGAGGGUGUUUGUCAGAACCCGGUUAUGCCGGAAAACACGCAAACGUGCAAAAACAUCUGCAAAACUUUUGGCUACAACCCGGAACAAGCCUACUGCGAUCCCGAUCCCACUCCGAGGUGCUGCUGCUUGUAUUAAGCACAAGAAAUAAUACUGCCAUUGGAGUGGCAGAUGAUGGAUGACAAAGCUAGCAAAAUCAUUUUUAUGCGCCCAUCUCGUCUCAUGUAAAAAUCGGAACAGAUCAUGGUCCUGUCCAUCAAUAAAGACGUGUUUGUAGAAUUAAUAA
This is a long non-coding RNA of Hordeum vulgare subsp. vulgare (domesticated barley), 468 nucleotides long. RefSeq lists it as uncharacterized. The transcript is spliced from 2 exons. NCBI's taxonomy places the organism in Eukaryota, Viridiplantae, Streptophyta, Magnoliopsida, Poales, Poaceae. The record is from RefSeq and is a predicted model, not a curated record.